Molecule: long non-coding RNA, 428 nt
Filed under: Phoenix dactylifera (date palm)
Lineage: Eukaryota; Viridiplantae; Streptophyta; Magnoliopsida; Arecales; Arecaceae
Description: long non-coding RNA (PDAC_LNC011431)
Source: RNAcentral
AAAAGGUUUCCAAACUGUGAAGAGUAUCAUGGCACAGUGUUGAAAACCAAAAUCCUGAUAAAGUUUAUACAGAAAAUAAUUAUUUCAGCACCAAGGACACCUUAAGUAAAAUAAGGUUAAUAGAAUUCUUGAAGAAAUGAAAAAGACAAUUGUGUAUGAUAGUCAUCUACUUAAAAGCUAUCAUCACUGCUUGUCAUACAUAUGAUUUCUAUUAGAUCUAUUUUUGAUGAAAACUCCUUUUGAUCUUCUGAAAAAUAGAAAAUGAUCUAUUGCAUAUCUUUCAUAUUUUUCAGUAGUUUAUGUUAUGCUUGAUAUGGUCUUUUGAAAAUAAUGCCAAAUCUGAUAAAGAUAUUUCUAUCCUUGGAUAUCAUUCAUCAAGCAAUGCAUAUAGAACAUUCAAUGAAAAGAUUCGAGUUGUAGAAAUAUCA